GCUGCAGGAGCAGGCGGCGGGAGGGGCGGGACCUAGCACUGGGCCUGCCACGGCGGCGGCGGCAGCAGCGGCGGCGGUGGAGGGCGACCCUUGCAUGCCGCCCCCGGAUGCGUCCCUUCUGCGGGGUACGUGGCGGAGGCUGUGGGACAGCCACGCCAGUCGGGGGGCAAAGGUGCUGGUGUACAGGCUGCAACAUGCUUACCUGCCUUGCGGGCUGUACAGGGCGGGCAAGGGCAUUCGGCCACGGGUGACCACGGGGUGCGGGGGGUUGGGGGCGCACUGUCC
This 285-nucleotide long non-coding RNA is filed under the name Chlamydomonas reinhardtii. RNAcentral describes it as "long non-coding RNA (CREI_LNC000401)". Lineage: Eukaryota; Viridiplantae; Chlorophyta; Chlorophyceae; Chlamydomonadales; Chlamydomonadaceae. The record is from RNAcentral.